UAGAAGGUACAUUUCCUGAAGAAAAUGUGAGUGGUGCUUGCAGUGGCAAAUCUCUGCGCCCUGUAGCCACCCAUGAUGCCUGUUUGAUAUCGUGGAGCCGUGAUAUAAGUUCUUUAUAUUGCUAUAUGGUUGCUAGGGCGCUCUAUAUGGUUGCUAUGGUGUGCCUAUAUAGUUCAUAUAGUGAUAUUUAAAGAUCAUUUACCAGCCUGAUUCCAAAAAGCCCAAGACAGUGUUUCUAUAUGGUUAUUUUGAUGAUAUAUAGCUUUUAAAUGUUGUUAAACAGCUGCUAGGGUGCUAAAAUUGGUUGCUAUGGCGUGGCUAUGAAGUUGUUAUGUCACUACUUAUGGACUGCUUGAUAGGCCGAUACAAAAGAGCCCUCUGCCAAGCCUCUAUGACUUUCUGAUCCAAAGAUAUGAUGUCAGAUAGUUUUUCCAAUGUUAAGUCUAUGGGAUAUUUUCACACAUUUUCUUCGCCCACUGUACGAUUAUCGUAAGUCCGAUUGCUUAGAAAAGUCAUAGCACACCUCUCCUCAAUAAGCCGCACGUUUUGACAUCUCAUUCAUGGGUCUGCGACAAAAAAUGCAGGAGGAGUAGCGUGCCGAAAUUUUGUCAAGGCGAAUAGUAAUAGUAACACUAGAAGGUACAUUUCCUGAAGAAAAUGUGAGUGGUGCUUGCAGUGGCAAAACUCUGCGCCCUGUAGCCACCCAUGAUGCCUGUGUGAUGUUUUGAAGCAGAGAUAGAAGGAUUUAUAUUGCUACAUGGUUACUAGGGUGCUCUAUAUGGUUGCUAUGGUGUGACUAUAUAGUUUAUGGGGUGAUAUUUAAAGAUUAUUUACCAGCCUGAAUGCAAAAAGCCCAAGCCAGUGUUUCUAUAUAGUUAUUUUUGCUGAGAUACAGCUUUUAAAUGUAGUUAAACAGUUGCUAGGGGGCUAAAAUUGGUUGCUAGGGCAUGGAUAUGAAGUUGUUAUGUCACUACUUAUGCACUGCUUGAUAGGCCGAGUCAAAAGAGCCCUCUCCCAAGCCUCUAUGACUUUCUAAUCCAAAGAUAUGAUGUCAGAUAGUUUUUCCAAUGUUAAGUCAAUGGGAUAUUUUCACACAUUUUCUUCGCCCGCUGUACGAUUAUCGUAAGUCCGAUUGCUUAGAAAAGUCAUAGCACACCUCUCCUCAAUAUCCCGCACGAUUUGACACCUCAUUCAUGGGUCUGUGACAAAAAAUGCGGGAGGAGUAGCGUGCCAAAGUUUUGUCAAGGCGAAUAGUAAUAGUAACACUAGAAGGUACAUUUCCUGAAGAAAAUGUGAGUGGUGCUUGCAGUGGCAAAACUCGGCGCCCUGUAGCCACCCAUGAUGCCUGUGUGAUGUUUUGAAGCAGAGAUAGAAGGAUUUAUAUUGCUACAUGGUUGCUAGGGUGCUCUAUAUGGUUGCUAUGGUGUGACUAUAUAGUUUAUGGGGUGAUAUUUAAAGAUUAUUUACCAGCCUGAAUGCAAAAAGCCCAAGCCAGUGUUUCUAUAUAGUUAUUUUUGCUGAGAUACAGCUUUUAAAUGUAGUUAAACAGUUGCUAGGGGGCUAAAAUUGGUUGCUAGGGCAUGGAUAUGAAGUUGUUAUGUCACUACUUAUGGACUGCUUGAUAGGCCGAGUCAAAAGAGCCCUCUCCCAAGCCUCUAUGACUUUCUGAUCCAAAGAUAUGAUGUCAGAUAGUUUUUCCAAUGUUAAGUCAAUGGGAUAUUUUGACACAUUUUCUUCGCCCGCUGUACGAUUAUCGUAAGUCCGAUUGCUUAGAAAAGUCAUAGCACACCUCUGCUCAAUAUCCCGCAGGAUUUGACACCUCAUUCAUGGGUCUGUGACAAAAAAUGCGGGAGGAGUAGCGUGCCAAAGUUUUGACAAGGCGAAUAGUAAUAGUAACACUAGAAGGUACAUUUCCUGAAGAAAAUGUGAGUGGUGCUUGCAGUGGCAAAACUCUGCGCCCUGUAGCCACCCAUGAUGCCUGUGUGAUGUUUUGAAGCAGAGAUAGAAGGAUUUAUAUUGCUACAUGGUUACUAGGGUGCUCUAUAUGGUUGCUAUGGUGUGACUAUAUAGUUUAUGGGGUGAUAUUUAAAGAUUAUUUACCAGCCUGAAUGCAAAAAGCCCAAGCCAGUGUUUCUAUAUAGUUAUUUUUGCUGAGAUACAGCUUUUAAAUGUAGUUAAACAGUUGCUAGGGGGCUAAAAUUGGUUGCUAGGGCAUGGAUAUGAAGUUGUUAUGUCACUACUUAUGCACUGCUUGAUAGGCCGAGUCAAAAGAGCCCUCUCCCAAGCCUCUAUGACUUUCUAAUCCAAAGAUAUGAUGUCAGAUAGUUUUUCCAAUGUUAAGUCAAUGGGAUAUUUUCACACAUUUUCUUCGCCCGCUGUACGAUUAUCGUAAGUCCGAUUGCUUAGAAAAGUCAUAGCACACCUCUCCUCAAUAUCCCGCACGAUUUGACACCUCAUUCAUGGGUCUGUGACAAAAAAUGCGGGAGGAGUAGCGUGCCAAAGUUUUGUCAAGGCGAAUAGUAAUAGUAACACUAGAAGGUACAUUUCCUGAAGAAAAUGUGAGUGGUGCUUGCAGUGGCAAAACUCGCCCCUCUGUUGCUAAGGUGUGGUUGCUAGGGUACCCGGGGUGGUUGCUAGGGUCCCUAUGAUGGUUGCUAGGGCCGUUGCUAGGGUACCCAGGGUGGUUGCUAGGGUAAUCGGGGUGGUUGCUAGGGUGUUGCUAUUUGGUUGCUAGGGUA
Molecule: long non-coding RNA, 2738 nt
Organism: Carassius gibelio (silver crucian carp)
Lineage: Eukaryota; Metazoa; Chordata; Actinopteri; Cypriniformes; Cyprinidae
Exons: 4
Source: RefSeq, a predicted model, not a curated record